GGGCUCACACAAGCGGUGGAGCAUGUGGCUUAAUUCGAGGCUACGCGAAGAACCUUAUCCUGGACUUGACAUGUGCGAAAGCGCUGGGAAGUAGCGUGCGGAAACGUUACGCGAACGGUAUCCAAUCCGGAACCCAGUACAGGUGCUGCAUGGCUGUCGUCAGCUCGUGUCGUGAGAUGUCGGGUUAAGUCCCAUAACGAGCGAAACCCCUGCCCUUAGUUGCUAGGCGUAAGCCGAGGACUCUAGGGGGACUGCCGGUGUCAAACCGGAGGAAGGUGGGGAUGACGUCAAGUCCUCAUGGCCUUUAUGUCCAGGGCUGCACACGUGCUACAAUGGCGUGAACAAAGGGACGCAAACGCGCGAGCGGGAGCAAAUCCCAAAAAACACGCCCCAGUUCAGAUCGCAGGCUGCAACUCGCCUGCGUGAAGUUGGAAUCGCUAGUAAUCGCGGGUCAGCAACACCGCGGUGAAUGUGUUCCUGAGCCUU
This 486-nucleotide ribosomal RNA is filed under the name uncultured bacterium. RNAcentral describes it as "bacterial SSU rRNA". It matches the Rfam family "Bacterial small subunit ribosomal RNA", at positions 917 to 1382 of the family's 1533-position model. The record is from RNAcentral.